GCAGCUCUGGGCUGUACCAGAUUCACCUUUAUUGCUCACGCUCCUCGGGGUUCCAACAGGCUGGGCCCCCCCUUUCCUUUCUUCAGCACAAAGGAGACUCAGGUCAGGGCUGAAUCCGUCCCCCACACCCCCCCCAGGGUUACAAACUGCCUUCAGAAGAGUGGGGUCAUCUGGCGCGGGUCGUCAGGCAGGAUGCUGACCGAGUCCUCGGCGCGGCCGCACAGCAGGCACAGCAUGGUGUACUCCUGGUAGUCGUCCACCACGCUGAAGGUGUACUCAUGGCGAGCAAUCAGGUGGUGGCAGUUCUUGCACAGGUGGUCGUAGGUGAUGAUCUCAUCGUCGCCGUGCAGGCCCGCGGCGCGGUUGCCCAGCAGCACGAAGUCCCGGCGGCCGCAUCGCGCGCACCCCACGAAGUUGAGCAGGAAGGAGCCGCCCUCCAGGCAGGUGGUGCCCCGCUCGGGGUACUCCGUGCCCACACAGCCCCCGCACAUCUCGCCGCUUCUCGCGAGACUUCCGCCGCUCAGCGGGGGGCGG
This 534-nucleotide long non-coding RNA is filed under the name Gallus gallus (chicken). The record is from RNAcentral. Lineage: Eukaryota; Metazoa; Chordata; Aves; Galliformes; Phasianidae.